AUGAACGCUAGCGGCAGGCUUAACACAUGCAAGUCGAACGGUAACAGGUGUAGCAAUACAUGCUGACGAGUGGCGCACGGGUGCGUAACGCGUAUGCAACUUACCUCUAACUGGAGGAUACCCUUCCGAAAGGAAGAAUAAUACUCCAUUAUAUUUCGAUGUGGCAUCACAUUGUUCUUAAAGCUUCGGCGGUUAGAGAUAGGCAUGCGUCUGAUUAGCUUGUUGGUGAGGUAAUGGCUCACCAAGGCAACGAUCAGUAGGGGGCCUGAGAGGGUUAUCCCCCACACUGGUACUGAGACACGGACCAGACUCCUACGGGAGGCAGCAGUGAGGAAUAUUGGUCAAUGGACGCAAGUCUGAACCAGCCAUGCCGCGUGCAGGAUGAAUGCCCUACGGGUUGUAAACUGCUUUUAUAUAGGAAUAAACCCCCUUUCGUGAGAGGGGCUGAAGGUACUAUAAGAAUAAGGACCGGCUAACUCCGU
RNAcentral lists this ribosomal RNA (482 nucleotides) under uncultured bacterium. Its description in RNAcentral is "bacterial SSU rRNA". It matches the Rfam family "Bacterial small subunit ribosomal RNA", at positions 29 to 506 of the family's 1533-position model. The record is from RNAcentral.